This is a long non-coding RNA of Drosophila willistoni, 931 nucleotides long. RefSeq lists it as uncharacterized. NCBI's taxonomy places the organism in Eukaryota, Metazoa, Arthropoda, Insecta, Diptera, Drosophilidae. The transcript is spliced from 4 exons. The record is from RefSeq and is a predicted model, not a curated record.
CUUUAAUUCAAAGGGAAUCCAACACAUUUAUUUUUAAUUAUUUCGAUUCUCACCACUUAAAUUACAACUUUUACCUGGUCUGGUACGCCCUUUCGUCCCAGUUGCCUAUUCAGCAUCAUUAUCAUCAUCAUCGUCAUCAAUGCAAUUAUUGAGAACAAAGCUCUCGGCGCAGAGCCAAAAUCCCAGCCAGAGGGCUAACCCAAUUCAAAUAUGUGCGAAAAGGCAUCGUGUUCAAAGUCAGUGAGAAGAGCAAAAAUCGAGAAAGGCGAGAAGAGGAAGAGGAUUAACUAACACACAAAAGCAACAGCUAUGGAGCAAUGGACUAGCAAGCGCACACACACACACACACACACACACAUGACCCUCAUCAGUUCAAAAACUGUGUUGUUAGCUUGGCCAGCAGACCAGCAAUUACCCUCCCCCGACUCUAUGCCCAGUCCCAGUCCCCUUCCCAUUCCCAGAACCAGCCCACCACCACCGACCUGACACACAACGCACAGCCUCGACCAUUUGGAAAAACCCUCGAGCAUUCAGACAAAACACUCCGCGGACUCUCGACAGGCAGCGACGCCACGACGAUGCGCGUUAUCCCCCACUCUGCCAAAACAGAAGCUGGAGCUAAAACUGGAGCUGGAGCUGUAGCUGUAGAUGAAACUGAAGCUUGGUCCUGGGCCUGUUCAUUGCACCGCGCAAAACCGUCAUAACCUAACCAAAAACUACUUGAGGCGACUUUUUGCACUCAUUUCGCACGUACAAACAAUGAACGAAGGCAACAACGAAUAAGGACCAUAGCAGCAAGAAAACUGGCUGACAAGUACAACUGGACAACUCAGCCCAAAGCGAUUAAUUAAAUUUGAAUCCAAACAAUCAGAUUAUCCCAGUACAUGUGAGAAUCUAUUAGGGAAUAGAGAAGAACAUCUGCUAGGAUUCG